This 468-nucleotide ribosomal RNA is filed under the name uncultured bacterium. RNAcentral describes it as "partial 16S ribosomal RNA". It matches the Rfam family "Bacterial small subunit ribosomal RNA", at positions 28 to 507 of the family's 1533-position model. The record is from RNAcentral.
GACGAACGCUGGCGGCGUGCUUAACACAUGCAAGUCGAACGGAAAGGCCCUGCUUUUGUGGGGUGCUCGAGUGGCGAACGGGUGAGUAACACGUGAGUAACCUGCCCUUGACUUUGGGAUAACUUCAGGAAACUGGGGCUAAUACCGGAUAGGAGCUCCUGCUGCAUGUGGGGGGUUGGAAAGUUUCGGCGGUUGGGUAUGGACUCGCGGCUUAUCAGCUUGUUGGUGGGGUAGUGGCUUACCAAGGCUUUGACGGGUAGCCGGCCUGAGAGGGUGACCGGCCACAUUGGGACUGAGAUACGGCCCAGACUCCUACGGGAGGCAGCAGUGGGGAAUAUUGCACAAUGGGCGGAAGCCUGAUGCAGCAACGCCGCGUGCGGGAUGACGGCCUUCGGGUUGUAAACCGCUUUCGCCUGUGACGAAGCGUGAGUGACGGUAAUGGGUAAAGAAGCACCGGCUAACUACGUG